This 77-nucleotide transfer RNA is filed under the name Acidobacteriota bacterium. RNAcentral describes it as "tRNA-Arg". It matches the Rfam family "tRNA". From Rfam's summary of the family: Transfer RNA (tRNA) molecules are approximately 80 nucleotides in length. Their secondary structure includes four short double-helical elements and three loops (D, anti-codon, and T loops). The record is from RNAcentral. RNAcentral also lists the same sequence under 1 other name. Lineage: Bacteria; Pseudomonadati; Acidobacteriota.
GCGCCCGUAGCUCAGUUGGAUAGAGCGCUUGCCUCCGGAGCAAGAGGUCCCGCGUUCAAGUCGCGGCGGGCGUACCA